Molecule: ribosomal RNA, 496 nt
Filed under: uncultured bacterium
Lineage: Bacteria
Description: partial 16S ribosomal RNA
Rfam family: Bacterial small subunit ribosomal RNA
Source: RNAcentral
GACGAACGCUGGCGGCGUGCCUAAUACAUGCCAGUAGAACGCUGAAGAGAGGAGCUUACUCUUCUUGGAUGAGUUGCGAACGGGUGAGUAACGCGUAGGUAACCUGCCUUGUAGCGGGGGAUAACUAUUGGAAACGAUAGCUAAUACCGCAUAACAAUGGAUGACACAUGUCAUUUAUUUGAAAGGGGCAAUUGCUCCACUACAAGAUGGACCUGCGUUGUAUUAGCUAGUAGGUGAGGUAAUGGCUCACCUAGGCGACGAUACAUAGCCGACCUGAGAGGGUGAUCGGCCACACUGGGACUGAGACACGGCCCAGACUCCUACGGGAGGCAGCAGUAGGGAAUCUUCGGCAAUGGGGGCAACCCUGACCGAGCAACGCCGCGUGAGUGAAGAAGGUUUUCGGAUCGUAAAGCUCUGUUGUAAGUCAAGAACGGGUGUGAGAGUGGAAAGUUCACACUGUGACGGUAGCUUACCAGAAAGGGACGGCUAACUACGU